GAUGAACGCUGGCGGCGUGCCUAAUACAUGCAAGUCGAGCGAACAGACGAGGAGCUUGCUCCUCUGACGUUAGCGGCGGACGGGUGAGUAACACGUGGAUAACCUACCUAUAAGACUGGGAUAACUUCGGGAAACCGGAGCUAAUACCGGAUAAUAUAUUGAACCGCAUGGUUCAAUAGUGAAAGACGGUUUUGCUGUCACUUAUAGAUGGAUCCGCGCCGCAUUAGCUAGUUGGUAAGGUAACGGCUUACCAAGGCAACGAUGCGUAGCCGACCUGAGAGGGUGAUCCGCCACACUGGAACUGAGACAAGGUCCAGACUCCUACGGGAGGCAGCAGUAGGGAAUCUUCCGCAAUGGGCGAAAGCCUUACGGAGCAACGCCGCGUGAGUGAUGAAGGUUUUCGGAUCGUAAAACUCUGUUAUUAUGGAAGAACAAAUGUGUAAGUAACUAUGCACGUCUUGACGGUACCUAAUCAGAAAGCCACGGCUAACUACGUG
This 497-nucleotide ribosomal RNA is filed under the name uncultured bacterium. RNAcentral's name for it is "partial 16S ribosomal RNA". It matches the Rfam family "Bacterial small subunit ribosomal RNA", at positions 28 to 507 of the family's 1533-position model. The record is from RNAcentral.